AACUACCCUACGAAGACCCAUAACCCUCGGGAAACUGAGGCUAAUAGGUCAUAGGUGAGUUACGCUGGAAUGCCAACUCUCCCAAACGCUCAGGCGUCGUAGGAUGUGGCUGCGGCCGAUUAGGUAGACGGUGGGGUAACGGCCCACCGUGCCGAUAAUCGGUACGGGUUGUGAGAGCAAGAGCCCGGAGACGGAAUCUGAGACAAGAUUCCGGGCCCUACGGGGCGCAGCAGGCGCGAAACCUUUACACUGCACGCAAGUGCGAUAAGGGGACCCCAAGUGCGAGGGCAUAUAGUCCUCGCUUUUUCCGACCGUAAGGUGGUCGGCGAAUAAGGGCUGGGCAAGACCGGUGCCAGCCGCCGCGGUAAUACCGGCAGCCCAAGUGAUGACCGAUAUUAUUGGGCCUAAAGCGUCCGUAGCCGGCCAUGAAGGUUCAUCGGGAAAUCCGCCAGCUCAACUGGCGGGCGUCCGGUGAAAACCACAUGGCUUGGGACCGGAAGGCUCGAGGGGUACGUCCGGGGUAGGAGUGAAAUCCCGUAAUCCUGGACGGACCACCGAUGGCGAAAGCACCUCGAGAAGACGGAUCCGACGGUGAGGGACGAAAGCUAGGGUCUCGAACCGGAUUAGAUACCCGGGUAGUCCUAGCUGUAAACGAUGCUCGCUAGGUGUGGCACAGGCUACGAGCCUGUGCUGUGCCGUAGGGAAGCCGAGAAGCGAGCCGCCUGGGAAGUACGUCCGCAAGGAUGAAACUUAAAG
RNAcentral lists this ribosomal RNA (756 nucleotides) under Haloferax sp. SA7. RNAcentral describes it as "bacterial SSU rRNA". It matches the Rfam family "Archaeal small subunit ribosomal RNA", at positions 107 to 861 of the family's 1478-position model. Lineage: Archaea; Methanobacteriati; Methanobacteriota; Halobacteria; Halobacteriales; Haloferacaceae. The record is from RNAcentral.